AGCCGGCACAGCCAGAAGUCUGAUUCCUCUCUAAGUUUCUUCAUAGGGAGUUUUUCCUGUGAAUCAAACCAUGUUUUUGCUUGCGGUUUAGGGUUUCUUGGGUGUCUAUAUAAGCACUUUGACACAAUUGCUGUUGUAAAAAGGGCUUUAGGAAAUAAACUGGAUUGAUUGCUGCCAAAGGCACUUCUCAAGUACUGAACAAAGGGACUGAAUAUGUACAUAAGAUAUCUGAUUUUUAUUUUUAAUAAAAUGGAAAAAUGGUACAAAGGUUUUUAGCAUUUUAUGUGGGUGUGUAGAUUGACAGAAACAGAAAGACAGAAAGUGAAGGGGUCUGAAUAAUUUCUGAAGGCACCGCGAGUGAAAGAAACGUAAGCCGAAUUCCUGCCCCUCACUCAGGAUCUGACAUCAUGAGUUGCUAUCAGCCUCAGUGUGAUGAAGCUCUCUGGCACCCCGUUUGUGAUCAGUUGAUCACGGAUCUGGAAAUUGAACAAGCAGACACAACAGAUAUAUGAUUAUCAGGAGGAUCUGAGGGGAAUCCCGCAGUUGGUUGAAUGUGAAACCAUCUGACAUGGUGGAGUGAUACUGACUUGUGGUAAGACUUCUGUUGUGAUGUUUGCAUCUGUGAGCAAACCUGUAAGCAGUGGCUGAUAGGAAAGUUUUAUGCUCACUACAAGUAUGUGUCCUGUAGAAACAGUCAAAAUGGUUAACAAACACAUAUGCACACAUUAUUUUUGGAGUUUGAACAACCAGUGAACGCCAUACUUACUAGACCUGCUGCUCAGUGUUGUAAUGGUAGUAGAGGUAACUGGAAGAGUGGUGAUUGAGGUGGUUGUGGGAUUGGGGAUUGAGGUGGUUGUGGGAUUGGGGAUUGAGGUGGUUGUGGGAUUGGGGAUUGAGGUGGUUGUGGGAUUGGGGAUUGAGGUGGUUGUGGGAUUGGGGAUUGAGGUGGUUGUGGGAUUGGGGAUUGAGGUGGUUGUGGGAUUGGGGAUUGAGGUGGUUGUGGGAUUGGGGAUUGAGGUGGUUGUGGGAUUGGGGAUUGAGGUGGUUGUGGGAUUGGAGAUUGAGGUGGUUGUGGGAUUGGGGAUUGAGGUGGUUGUGGGAUUGGGGAUUGAGGUGGUUGUGGGAUUGGUGAUUGAGGUGGUUGUGGGAUUGGUAGUUAAGAUGGCUGGGAGAUUGGUGGUUAUGUUUGGAAUGGUAGAUGUAGGAGCUGUAGCACAAAGAAAGACAAACAAAUUGGCUGAUCAAUUAAUGUUUUCGUCAAAGAUGCAGUCUCCAAUUUUCAGUGGAGAGUUGUAAAACUGGAGCUGUCAAGCCAAAUUGGUUCACAGAAAAUGGUGAUAUGUGUUACGUAUGUGUCAAUUUGUGCCAAAUGUUAUUUAAAAAACACUCACUUUCAAAUGAGAAUUUCAUUGAUGACUGAUAUGAUAAAAUGUAUAAUAUUCUACUUAUAGAUUAGGCUAAUAUAAAAAAAACAUAUUACACAUCCAGACAUAAAUGUGUACAAUGUUCAGACAAAAUUUGAAGCAUUGGUCAAACAAUGUUAGCAUGUAUUUUGAACUUUUCAAGUUGAGAACAUUCAAUGGCAUUGCCCAUGAAUAGACUAAGCACAAUAUGCAACUGUAGGCCCAGUCCUCAUGUAAAAUGUCCCUGAUUGUCUUGAAAGGCGUCCCCCAAAUAAAAUGUAUUAUUCUUAUUCUUACUUGAAACGUAGUACUACAUACACAAUUAGAGACACCUAAUGAUAUAUGUCCAGUUACCGACCAAUGUAAUGCUAAAUGUAUAAUAACAGACAAAGAUGUCUAUUUAUUAGUACUGAAAAAAAAAAAUAUAUAUAUAUAUUUAUUAGUACUGACCAUUAAGAUGGUUACAAUCAUGUACAAUGGAUAUACUGUCGCUUAUAUGUGGCUGGCAUUGAUAUGACAUGACCACUGUCAAGGGGAGUCUGGUUAUUUGGGACAACAAGAGCUUCAGAUACCACAGACAUCAAUCCUGAAUCAGACAUUGUCUGGACGUCUAUCUAGACACCUGUGGUAACAGCGGUUGGACCAGGAACGUAAUGACGGAUGUGGAAUGAUUAGAUUAGUUCAUAUACUUGUCUGUGACAUUGAUUGUCUCUCUGUCGGUUGUCGAUGUAUUUUAACUGAAUCACUUGAAAAAGUGCAACUUAACCCUGUAACGCCAAGUGUAUCAAAACCUCUACGUCGUCAACAUGAUCAACACUUUCACUAAGAACCUGUUGUAUGCAAUCUGAUACAUGUCUUCUUCCCCCUGGUGGAUAGUCUGUGCACUGCAGGCAAAAGCGGGCUUUUUGAAUGACCGAUCAAAAAUGUCUGCUUUCAUAUAGCGACACACCCGUUUUUGAUAGGGAACUCUUUGCUAAUUUUGAAAAAGUUACAGUAAGAAUAACAUUUUUAUUGUUAGUAAUAUUUCUAUAUGAAUAUUUACUGUGUUGAAGCAACUUAUUAUUACUUAAUAUUUUGUACCUUAUUUUAUAGUAAAAUUGUGUUGAUAAUGUGUGUAUCAAAUAUGAUACAGCAGGUAUGUAAGGUAUUAAAUCCCUCAGUCGUCAUUGCAUUGAAUUUCAUGACGCAAUCUGCUUUAUGCCAAAUACACAAUUUAGAUUUUUUUAUAAAACUUAUGAAACAUUGGAUAUAUUUAAGAUAUACAGUGGGAGAACAAGUAUUUGAUACACUGCCGAUUUUGCAGGUUUUCCUACUUGCAAAGCAUGUAGAGGUCUGUAAUUUUUAUCAUAGGUACUCUUCAACUGUGAGAGACGGAAUCUAAAACAAAAAUCCAGAAAAUCACAUUGUAUGAUUUUUCAAUAAAAAAUUUUAGAUUCCGUCACUCACAGUUGAACAGUGUCUACGAUAAAAAUUACAGACUUCUACAUGCUUUGUAAGUGGGAAAACCUGCAAAAUCAGCAGUUCUCCCCAUUAUAUUUACAGUGGAAAUUGAGAUGUGUUUUUCUUUAUAUAUGCAACCCACAGUCAUGAUGAAGUCUUUUAUCAUCGAUUUUCACAAAAAUAACUUCUUGGCUGUCAUAAUAUGUAUGUUAUAUUGACAAAUUCAGAGAAGAAAUUCAGAGUACGAAAUGAAAUUCUGAGUAUGCAAUGUAUUUUUAGAUGGCCAAAGUAGUGUUCAAAAUGUCAUCAGCAUGACAUAGAUAGACGUUUUGACCAGACUAGUGAAUAAGUAGAGGUGUGACAGAACACUAUCCUCUCUAUAACCCCCCGCCACAGCAAAAUAAAAAGGUUUUAUUUUCUUCAGUUUUUAAAAUCAAGUUCCAAACCAACUGAAAUGGUCCAAAUGCAAUAAACAAUGUCUAUUUAGUUUUCUAAAAUAAAAAUUUUAGUGAUCAAUAAAUUACCAUGAAUGCCUGAUUAAUCAAAUAUUUUUUCUGCAUAUAUGUAAAUUAUAUUUAAAAAAUAUCACCAUGGAGUUCCACAAAAACUGUUUCAUUCCACUACAGGAACUGUAAUAACAACCUCAUCCAGAAUAGGGUAACAUUGCUCCAUGAGGCCUUUAAGUGCAGGUAAGGUCCAGUGACAGAAGAUUGUCUUCCGUUACUGGACCUUACCUGCACUUAAAGAUUGUUUUGUAGAAUUCACAGUGGAAUAAAGCAAUAAUAAAUGAAAUGUGAGAAAGUCUGUACACUGGGAGGAAAAUACAUAUGUUGUUGGCACAGGUGCCUAUGCACAUUACCAGGCAAUCACUGGUUGAUCUGACAAUUACUGAUACAAAAGAAUACUUUAAGGGCUACUGUAAAAUGUCCCUCAGUGAGACUACCAGAACACUAGAAAUGGGAUCAAUCUUCUCAGGGCAACAUGCAGUAGUAAAACUCACCACUUUCGUUUCCAACACGGAUGAUGACACAGCGCAGCUCAGAUUGGUACAGGGAACUGGGAAGAUCGACAGAAGUGGAAUUUUUUGCAUACAUUGACACAAUGUUUCUGAGACAAAAGCCACCAAAUCAUUUUUAUUGACACAUUUUUUGAGCAACAAACUAGUAAAUUACAUUCUGAAAGUACGGAGUGUAGGGAAAAAAAUCUCCACAGUUUUUCGUUAUGACUUUCAAAGUUGCCCACACUUUAGUUAGUUUAGUGUCAUAAAAAUGAACGUCAAGACAAAAUGUUUCAGACUCUGUUUAGCCGUGUUAUGUUUUUCAUUCUUGUUGUUGCAUAACAGUGUACAUUUAAAAGAUUUUCCAUAGAUUCAAGUCAAACUGUCAUUAGUCUGACCUGCCAUUCAGUCCCUGAGCGAUGAAGCACACAGGAUAAGCCCCUCCAUCCUCUGUAGUAGGCGUCCAUCUUAGAAGGUACAGUCCUGGGCUGGUGGUGUUCUUUGUGAUGUUCUGAGGUCCACUCACCAACAGCUCUGUAGCCCUUAACACAGGAAGGGAAAAAAAGAAAAUGAACAAUAACCUUUUGGCAUGAUGAGACUCUCAUUCAAAGCGAAUGUCUCUGACUUCCAGAUCCAAACGCAAUGGUCCCACCAAGUGGUACCUAAUAAAACAGUCCAUAUCUAGUGAAUUCUGUCAUCACAAUCUGUACUUGAAACCUAGAGGGAAGCUAAAGCUUUUUUUAUAAACGGAUGGCUAAGUGAGUGAAUGUGGUAGCCAAAUAUCAUUUGGACCUUGUGUGCAAACUGACAAAUAUCCAGGUUCCCUUUUUCAGAGAUUGAGUCAUGGCACUGGUGACUGACCCAACCCUUAGACUAGUGUUUCCUGGUUUCUAUCCUCUUA
Molecule: long non-coding RNA, 4741 nt
Organism: Esox lucius (northern pike)
Lineage: Eukaryota; Metazoa; Chordata; Actinopteri; Esociformes; Esocidae
Source: Ensembl